Molecule: long non-coding RNA, 3226 nt
Organism: Cygnus olor (mute swan)
Lineage: Eukaryota; Metazoa; Chordata; Aves; Anseriformes; Anatidae
Exons: 3
Source: RefSeq, a predicted model, not a curated record
CCCCCCCCCCGCCCCAGCGCAGCAGCCAUUUGGCCGCCUGGGCCAGCGUGAGGAAACGGGGCAGGAAUUUGAAACGGGAGCGCAAAACCUGCCUCGGGGGGAGGGCGGUGAGGGGCUGGCACAGGCUGCCCGCAGGAGCUGUGGACGCCCCGUCCCGGGCGGUGUUGGAGGCCAGGCUGGAUGGGGCCUUGGCAAGGUCCCUGAGGACAAAGCACAAACUGUGUUUCGAAAAUGAACCCCUCGUGGUUUUUUUCCAGGUUGAAAUGAGAACGCGCUUGGGGAAGUGGUUUUUGUGUUGGAACAGAAGCCUCCUGAGAUGACGGGAUCGGUUUCCUGGUUUCCUGGCAGCUCCCAGCACAGCACCCGGGGCAGGGCUUGGGGCUCUGCCUCCACCCCUCCUCUGCGUGGGCUCUUGCCUACAGAGUGGGAACAAACUGGGCAGCACUGGGCAAACUGGGGCUGUUCUCACCUGCCCAGAGCUUGCUCUGGGGUCCAGGGGCUGCUUCCCCAUCCCUUCUUCAGUCUCAGCUAAACCUUUCCACCUCUUUCCACUUCUUUUGCUAGACAGGAUCCCCUGCCAGAGGCUUCCUCCGAGGCAGAAUGACACAGAGCAUGACUAUAGCACAGCCACCAAACUGCAAAGGGUACUCUGGCAUGUCCUCUGCUUCCUGUACGCCAUGGCAGCAAGGCCUUGGUGCUACCUGCACUGUUAUGUAAAUUAGAAGGUGGCUGCAAGGACAAUUUGAUAUGUAUGUAUUUUUUUUAGCCAGCGUUAGCACCGUGAUGGACUUCAUACAAUGCAACUGGAGCACUGGCUUGUCUCUGUGACUCUGAGCGCACUUCUGAGCAGAACAGGUGGCACAUCCAGGGUGGCACGUUCUGGCUUCCUGCAACACCUGUUCGUCCCACGCACAUGGGUCUCAUCCCUCAUGCCGCGUCGGGAAGAAGCAAGGAGUGGGCUGCAUUGACUCAGUGGCCGUCUUGUUUAGUCUUGUUUGAGUCCAAUUCACUUCAAGAGCCACUUCAAAAGCCCCGAGAGAGUCGCAUGGGGCAGAACUGAUUCCUGAGUCUUGGGCAGCCUGCCACACUGGGGAACGAACAGUCCUAGUGUUUCUUAUUAAUUUCUACUCCAAACCUUUUUGGAGGCAAGGGGGGUACUUUCCUUCCAUUUAAGGAGGAGCCACAAGUCUGUCUCCUCUUAGUUUUAUUCAAAGAGAGUUGUGAUAAAGGUCUUAUCUUCAAAGAAGCAGAUUUCUCGUAGAGAUGAGCCCGGUUGACCAGAUAGCCCAAGAACGCAGUGAAUAGCAAUGUAUCCUGUCUCUGCAACACAGCCAAAAUGCUGAGGAGUGAAAGGAUCCUGAUCCCAAAAGUGAAUCUGCUUGGCAUCCUUCAGCAGCCUAAAGCAUUGCAGAGCCCAAGGUCUCCUUUUUGUGUGUGUAAACUCUCCCCGUUUUCACGUAGGGAGGUGGCCACCUGCUGACUCCCCACCUGUCAGACCUUGACUUGUGGAUCUGUGAGACAUCACACUGGGCUGCCGUUCCAGGUGAAAACCUGGGAUCAGGGAAAGCUGAGAGUACAGAGCACAACAACCAGAUGAGAAAACCCCAGAUCCUCUGCCGAUUUGGUGAUUAUUUCAAUCUCAGUAUUAUGAAUCUGGGAAAUGAGCACUUGAAGCAAUUGAAGAACUUGAAGGAAGAAACAAAGUAUGAAGAUACCUAAACAAUCUUAAUUUUGCCCUGUAUCAGUCUCUCUCAGUAAUUAUGUUGCUGCUAUUAAAAUCUAUUUGUUGUCAUCCCAGAUUUUAUUACAUGGGUUUUUAAUCAGUGACAUGUUAGUGACAAAAGCCUCGUCUUAUCCUAAUUAUAGUCUCAUGGCUCCAAAUAUAGUCUGUAUGCAAAACUUCAGAAAAUUUGAGUCUAUAAGGGUCUGUAAAGUCUUCAUUGUUCCCUUGCAAAUACCAUUCCAGACAAAGAAAAAAAAAAAUAAGACAAAGAAAAAAAAUGUAAAAAUGCUGCACUCCUUAAAGAAAUCCCUUUUAAUCCUUAUAAUUCAGAAAGUAUCUAAUAGAUUUAAUUCUGACAGUGUGUGCUGCACGUUCUUGACAGAGGUUCUUACACACUAAAUAAAAGCCAAAUCCCUCUCAGAAGGGAAGGACAAAGCCUCCAUCUCGCAGCCCCAGCCUGCACAGCCCAGCUCAGAGCAUAACUGCGCAGAUCAAUCCUGCACGGCUGAGCUGUAACCUCAGACAGAAUCGGGGACGGAAAAGUGCCAGCAGAGCUGAUUGCAUCUGUGGCCAAUGCUCAGCUGCUGAAUAUAAGCAGGACAGAAAUCUGCUACCAAGCUGACCUUCCCCGGGAGACAUCCUGACGAGGCAGUGUCACAUCCCAGGAGUGCUGGGGAUGUUUGCAGAGGUGGCUGCACCAGGCUCUUGGGUCCACGAUCUCAGUGGCCCCAAGGGCCCCCAGGAGCUUCACCCCACAGCACCCUGUGGCAGCUUUGUCCAGGCCACGAACCGAGCGGCGAGCAAAAGCUCUUGAGCUGGAAGAAGCGCUCAGUGCUUCUGCUCAGGAAUUUUCAGGCCUCGGCUGGAAGUCACUCUGUUCACUGGGCGAGAGCCCUGCUCUCUCCUUCCUUGUUUGGAUGGCUGUGCAUGAUUUGGGUCACCAGAAAGGGACAUCCCACAGGCUGCCCCAUCCCGUGUGGCCUCAGACCUACUCACCAUAGCUCUGGCAGCUCCCUCCAGCUCAGCCAUGCUCGUGCCAUAGCAUCUGCCCCUGUGCUUCUAGUUUGUGCGCUGUGUGGUCACUCUGUCACCAACUGGUUCAGCUUGGCUGUCUCCCGUAUGCUUUGGAUUAAGUAAAAAUUGUGUUUCGAACACCUUGCCUGGGCUUUAGUUUCUUUGCUAUGAAAGGAAGCAACGCGCAGUGGAGUGAGACAAGGAGCCCUGGGACCAUCGCUGCCUGCGCUCUGCCCGAGCUGCGGUCGCUGCCUCUGCUAAAGGCGCCGAAGCAUCUGCAGUGGGAAAGAAGCACCCUCAUCCCCCCGGCAGCAGAUGUAGAGCCACCUCCUGGUUCAGUGCCAAAAACUUGGGAAUUCAGGUCACCCCAGUGCCCCUCCAGUGCUUUAUCCAGCAGUCACGUUUCUGCGCCGAGGGGACUGAACGUCCGAGGUUGCCACGUCCAGGCACUUCGUUCCCUUAGCAAGCUCGUUAAAUGCUAGGGGAAGA